This 61-nucleotide transfer RNA is filed under the name Rattus norvegicus (Norway rat). It matches the Rfam family "tRNA", at positions 6 to 65 of the family's 71-position model. Rfam says of the family: Transfer RNA (tRNA) molecules are approximately 80 nucleotides in length. Their secondary structure includes four short double-helical elements and three loops (D, anti-codon, and T loops). Further hydrogen bonds mediate the characteristic L-shaped molecular structure. tRNAs have two regions of fundamental functional importance: the anti-codon, which is responsible for specific mRNA codon recognition, and the 3' end, to which the tRNAs corresponding amino acid is attached (by aminoacyl-tRNA synthetases). tRNAs cope with the degeneracy of the genetic code in two manners: having more than one tRNA (with a specific anti-codon) for a particular amino acid; and 'wobble' base-pairing, i.e. permitting non-standard base-pairing at the 3rd anti-codon position. Lineage: Eukaryota; Metazoa; Chordata; Mammalia; Rodentia; Muridae. The record is from Rfam by way of RNAcentral.
UUUAGCUCAGUGGUAGAGCGCUUGCCUAGGAAGCACAAGGCCCUGGGUUCGGUUCCCGGAA